Molecule: long non-coding RNA, 910 nt
Organism: Cotesia glomerata
Lineage: Eukaryota; Metazoa; Arthropoda; Insecta; Hymenoptera; Braconidae
Exons: 4
Source: RefSeq, a predicted model, not a curated record
UUUAGAAGUUCAGCCACUACGUAAAAAUUGGAGUUGGACUGUCAUUAAAGAUUCAUAUAUUUCAUUAUCAUAAAUAAAUUUAAAAUUGGAAUUAGUUUGUCACGUAAAAAUUCAUAAAGAUCUAAAAGUUACGAUCGUGAAUGCCAAAACGAAUAUCCUUAUUGAUAUGGAUGUAAAUAUUUCGUCAAUUGAUUGUGUUUGGCAGUUAUUAAGUUCUUUAGAAAACACCUUUUUCUGUAGUGGAACUGGAUACGAUGACAAAAAUGUUCAGUCACUUGUACAGGUAUAUUAUUGCCGGAGGAAAGAUAUAAAAGAAAAGUUGUGGAGUACAGAUGCAUUACUUGUCGAAAAUUGAGACGUUUGAUCCAAAACGUAAGACGGAAACAACAAAUAAUGAAGCUCGAUGGAUGAGUUUUAAGCAUCGCUAUAUUUUACAACACAGAAAGCUCAAUCGAGUUGUUCACACGGUAUAUUGUCAGUCGACGAAAUAGCACUUAGCGAAGGCAUUGCAUUAAACCGUAAAACAUUACAACUGGAAGGUUUUGUAGACCUUGGGGAAUACACGCCUGACCAUUUAAGAUACACUAGAGCUGACCAUGCGUUGGUUUUUAUGUUUCAACCCUUUCAGGGCAAGUGGGUGCAAGUUGUUGGCCAAUUUUUAAGUAAAGAUUCAGUGACUAGUGAAAUUCUUCAGAAACUACUUUUAGAAUGUACAAUUCUGCUUGAGAAAGCUGGUUUUUAUGUGGACGGAAUUGUAUCAGAUGCAGCACAAUGGAAUCGCGGUGUAUGGAAAUUGCUCGGCAUACAAGAUGGCAACUAUAGUUGUGAGCACCCAUAUAAUUUUUCAAGACGUCUAUGGUUUUUUUCGGAUUUCCCUCAUUUAUUGAAAAAUUUUAGAAAUAAAAUUAUG